UCGGGAUAACACCUGGAAACAGAUGCUAAUACCGGAUAACAACAGAUGAUGCCUAUCAACUGUUUAAAAGAUGGUUCUGCUAUCACUCUUGGAUGGACCUGCGGUGCAUUAGCUAGUUGGUAGGGUAACGGCCUACCAAGGCGAUGAUGCAUAGCCGAGUUGAGAGACUGAUCGGCCACAUUGGGACUGAGACACGGCCCAAACUCCUACGGGAGGCAGCAGUG
This 224-nucleotide ribosomal RNA is filed under the name uncultured Lactobacillus sp. RNAcentral describes it as "partial 16S ribosomal RNA". It matches the Rfam family "Bacterial small subunit ribosomal RNA", at positions 138 to 356 of the family's 1533-position model. The record is from RNAcentral. Lineage: Bacteria; Bacillati; Bacillota; Bacilli; Lactobacillales; Lactobacillaceae.